GAACCGACUUACGUUGAAAAGUGAGCGGAUGAACUGAGGGUAGCGGAGAAAUUCCAAUCGAACCUGGAGAUAGCUGGUUCUCUCCGAAAUAGCUUUAGGGCUAGCCUCAAGUGAUGAUUAUUGGAGGUAGAGCACUGUUUGGACGAGGGGCCCCUCUCGGGUUACCGAAUUCAGACAAACUCCGAAUGCCAAUUAAUUUAACUUGGGAGUCAGAACAUGGGUGAUAAGGUCCGUGUUCGAAAGGGAAACAGCCCAGACCACCAGCUAAGGUCCCAAAAUAUAUGUUAAGUGGAAAAGGAUGUGGCGUUGCCCAGACAACUAGGAUGUUGGCUUAGAAGCAGCCAUCAUUUAAAGAGUGCGUAAUAGCUCACUAGUCGAGUGACACUGCGCCGAAAAUGUACCGGGGCUAAACAUAUUACCGAAGCUGUGGAUUGUCCUUUGGACAAUGGUAGGAGAGCGUUCUAAGGGCGUUGAAGCAUGAUCGUAAGGACAUGUGGAGCGCUUAGAAGUGAGAAUGCCGGUGUGAGUAGCGAAAGACGGGUGAGAAUCCCGUCCACCGAUUGACUAAGGUUUCCAGAGGAAGGCUCGUCCGCUCUGGGUUAGUCGGGUCCUAAGCUGAGGCCGACAGGCGUAGGCGAUGGAUAACAGGUUGAUAUUCCUGUACCACCUAUAAUCGUUUUAAUCGAUGGGGGGACGCAGUAGGAUAGGCGAAGCGUGCGAUUGGAUUGCACGUCUAAGCAGUAAGGCUGAGUAUUAGGCAAAUCCGGUACUCGUUAAGGCUGAGCUGUGAUGGGGAGAAGACAUUGUGUCUUCGAGUCGUUGAUUUCACACUGCCGA
RNAcentral lists this ribosomal RNA (837 nucleotides) under Staphylococcus aureus. RNAcentral describes it as "bacterial LSU rRNA". It matches the Rfam family "Bacterial large subunit ribosomal RNA", at positions 776 to 1611 of the family's 2925-position model. Lineage: Bacteria; Bacillati; Bacillota; Bacilli; Caryophanales; Staphylococcaceae. The record is from RNAcentral.